Molecule: transfer RNA, 73 nt
Filed under: Ovis aries (sheep)
Lineage: Eukaryota; Metazoa; Chordata; Mammalia; Artiodactyla; Bovidae
Rfam family: tRNA
About the family: Transfer RNA (tRNA) molecules are approximately 80 nucleotides in length. Their secondary structure includes four short double-helical elements and three loops (D, anti-codon, and T loops).
Source: Rfam by way of RNAcentral
UCCCUGGUGGUCAAGUGGCCAAGACUCUAAACUCCCAACGCAGGGGGCCCAGGUUUGAUCCCUGGUCAGGGGA